UACGUAGGGGGCGAGCGUUAUCCGGAAUUACUGGGUGUAAAGGGUGCGUAGGCGGCUAUGCAAGUCAGAUGUGAAAACUCAGGGCUCAACCUUGAGGCUGCAUCUGAAACUGCGUAGCUAGAGUGUGGGAGAGGAAAGUGGAAUUCCGAGUGUAGCGGUGAAAUGCGUAGAGAUUCGGAGGAACACCAGUAGCGAAGGCGGCUUUCUGGACCAUAACUGACGCUGAGGCACGAAAGCGUGGGGAGCAAACAGGAUUAGAUACCCUGGUAGUCCACGCUGUAAACGAUGAAUGCUAGGUGUUGGGGGCGACAGCUUUCAGUGCCGAAGUUAACACAUUAAGCAUUCCACCUGGGAAGUACGAUCGCAAGAUUGAA
RNAcentral lists this ribosomal RNA (374 nucleotides) under uncultured bacterium. RNAcentral's name for it is "bacterial SSU rRNA". It matches the Rfam family "Bacterial small subunit ribosomal RNA", at positions 524 to 898 of the family's 1533-position model. The record is from RNAcentral.